This 500-nucleotide ribosomal RNA is filed under the name uncultured Glomeromycotina. RNAcentral describes it as "partial small subunit ribosomal RNA". It matches the Rfam family "Eukaryotic small subunit ribosomal RNA", at positions 591 to 1092 of the family's 1831-position model. Lineage: Eukaryota; Fungi; Glomeromycota. The record is from RNAcentral.
UCAAUAGCGUAUAUUAAAGUUGUUGCAGUUAAAACGCUCGUAGUUGAAUUUCGGGAUUAAUAGGUUGGUCAUGCCCUCGGUAUGUACUGAUUUCAUUGGUUCUCACCUUCUAAGGAAUCAUAAUGUCAUUCGUUUGAUGUUGUGGGGAAUUAGGACUGUUACCUUGAAAAAAUUAGAGUGUUUAAAGCAGGCUAACGCUUGAAUACAUUAGCAUGGAAUAAUGAAAUAGGACAUCCGAUUCUAUUUUGUUGGUUUCUAGGAUCGAUGUAAUGAUUAAUAGGGAUAGUUGGGGGCAUUAGUAUUCAAUUGUCAGAGGUGAAAUUCUUGGAUUUAUUGAAGACUAACUACUGCGAAAGCAUUUGUCAAGGAUGUUUUCAUUAAUCAAGAACAAAAGUUAGGAGAUCGAAGACGAUCAGAUACUGUCGUAGUCUUAACCAUAAACUAUGCCGACUAGGGAUCAGAUGAUGCUUAUUUUUUAAUAACUCAUUCGGCACCUUACG